RNAcentral lists this ribosomal RNA (484 nucleotides) under uncultured bacterium. RNAcentral's name for it is "partial 16S ribosomal RNA". It matches the Rfam family "Bacterial small subunit ribosomal RNA", at positions 30 to 507 of the family's 1533-position model. The record is from RNAcentral.
AUUGAACGCUGGCGGGAUGCUUUACACAUGCAAGUCGAACGGCAGCGCGGACUUCGGUCUGGCUGCGAGUGGCGGACGGGUGGGUGAUUUAGCGGAACAUCCCCAGUUACGUUGUCUAACUACGCAACGGCGUAGCUAAUACCCCAUAAGCCCUACGGGCGAAAGGAGGGGAGCGUAAGACCUUGCACUAUUGGAGCGGCCGAUAUCGGAUUAGCUAGUUGGUGAGGUAACGGCUCACCAAGGCGACGAUCCGUAGCUGGUUUGAGAGGACGACCAGCCACACUGGGACUGAGACACGGCCCAGACUCCUACGGGAGGCAGCAGUGGGGAAUUUUGGACAAUGGGCGCAACCCUGAUCCAGCCAUCCCGCGUGUGUGAUGAAGGCCUUCGGGUUGUAAAGCACUUUUGGCAGGAAAGAAACGUAGCGGGCUAAUACCCCGUGGAACUGACGGUACCUGAAGAAUAAGCACCGGCUAACUACGUG